GGGGAUAUAGCUCAGUUGGUAGAGUGCUUGCCUUGCAUGCACAAGGCCCUGGGUUCAAUCCCCAGUACCACA
Molecule: transfer RNA, 72 nt
Filed under: Marmota monax (woodchuck)
Lineage: Eukaryota; Metazoa; Chordata; Mammalia; Rodentia; Sciuridae
Description: tRNA.Ala
Rfam family: tRNA
About the family: Transfer RNA (tRNA) molecules are approximately 80 nucleotides in length.
Source: RNAcentral